Molecule: RNA transcript, 2722 nt
Organism: Macadamia integrifolia
Lineage: Eukaryota; Viridiplantae; Streptophyta; Magnoliopsida; Proteales; Proteaceae
Source: RefSeq, a predicted model, not a curated record
ACUCUCCCGGAGAACGCUCUUCCAUUCUGUGGGAACACUUUUUACAUAUCAAAUUCAUGUUCCAUAAAAAAGGUUAGUAUUCUCGAUAAAAUCACCUCUCGGCUCACUCGACAGGAGGAAAAACCUUUGUGCGUUAUAUCCGCAAGCUCAAGCUCUCCUGCGAUUCUUUGAACACAACCGUACUCCUUUGUUCCUCCCUCGCCUGCAACCACCUCAAGAACCGUUCAAGCUCGCUUGUGAAUCUCUGUGCUCUCCGUGUGCAAACGAAAGUAGCAGGUUCAGCGAACUUUCUUGGAUCUCCCCAAGUUUUUGGCUUGAUUUGACUAUUUGGUGGCACUUUUAGAAGAAGGAAUGGCAACUCUUGCUGAUUCAUUCCUGGCAGACCUUGACGAGUUAUCUGACAAUGAAGCUGAUAUUAUUGAUGAGGAUGUCGGUGAUGAGGAAGGCAUGGAAGAAGAUGUUGAUGGUGACAUGCCUGACAUUGAAUCUCUUAAUUAUGAUGAUCUAGAUAGUGUUUCAAAAUUACAAAAGACACAGCGUUACAUUGAUAUCAUGCAGAAAGUUGAAAAUGCGCUUGAGAAAGGUUCUGAUAACCCUAGCCAGGGCAUAGUUUUGGAAGAUGAUCCUGAAUAUCAACUGAUAGUUGACUGUAAUGCAUUGUUGGUUGACAUGGAGAAUGAAAUCAUUAUUAUUCACAAUUUUAUUCGUGACAAAUAUCGCCUGAAGUUUCCAGAGCUUGAAUCUCUUGUACAUCACCCAAUUGACUAUGCUCGAGUUGUAAAGAAAAUUGGGAAUGAAGUGGAUUUAACCCUUGUUGAUCUUGAAGGUCUUUUACCAUCAGCUAUCAUUAUGGUGGUUUCUGUUACAGCAUCAACUACGAGUGGGAAGCCACUUCCAGAGGAGAACCUUCAAAGGACAGUUGAUGCAUGUGAUCGUGCUCUUGCUCUUGAUUCAGCGAAGAAAAAGGUCCUUGAUUUUGUUGAGAGUAGAAUGGGAUACAUUGCACCGAAUCUUUCUGCUAUUGUUGGGAGUGCUGUUGCAGCAAAACUCAUGGGGACUGCUGGUGGUCUGUCUGCGUUAGCCAAGAUGCCAGCUUGUAACGUUCAGCUUCUUGGUGCCAAGAGGAAGAAUCUAGCAGGGUUUUCAACUGCAACAUCCCAAUUUCGCGUUGGCUAUCUUGAGCAAACAGAGAUAUUUCAAAGCACACCUCCUUCUUUGAGGAUGCGUGCCUGCCGACUUUUGGCUGCAAAAUCCACACUAGCAUCACGAGUUGAUUCAACACGAGGUGAUCCAACUGGAAAAACUGGAAGGACAUUAAGGGACGAAAUCCGUAAGAAGAUUGAGAAAUGGCAAGAGCCACCUCCUGCAAAGCAACCAAAACCUCUCCCUGUUCCAGAUUCUGAUCCCAAAAAGAAGAGGGGUGGUCGUAGGCUCCGGAAGAUGAAGGAAAGGUAUGCAAUUACAGAUAUGAGGAAGCUGGCAAAUAGGAUGCAAUUUGGAGUACCCGAAGAAAGCUCUUUGGGUGAUGGACUGGGAGAAGGAUAUGGUAUGCUUGGUCAGGCUGGAAGUGGGAAGUUACGUGUAGCUGUUGGUCAGAGCAAACUUGCUACCAAGGUUGCAAAGAAGUUCAAAGAAAAGCAAUACGGCAGCAGUGGUGCCACUUCAGGGUUGACUUCUAGUUUGGCAUUUACACCUGUGCAGGGAAUCGAGCUCACAAAUCCACAGGCAUUAAAUCAGCUGGGUAGUGGUACUCAAAGUACCUACUUCUCAGAAGUAGGAACUUUCUCAAAGAUCAAGAGGACUUGAACCACCUUAAAGGUUGCCUUUGUACAGUUGGUCAUUUUGACCCUUAUAAGUAAGUGAAAUUUGAGGACAGUGCAAAUUGACAAAACGUCCAAGUUAAGUAAAGUUCCUUUCUGAUUGUGUGUUUUACUAUUAGCUUCCAUUUCGAUGGAAGUUCCAAAUGCAGGAUUUUGCUAUGAAGACUGAUUGUCAGCCAAAUGUAACUCAUUGUUUAUUUCAAUUUAGAUUGAAGAGAGUGGAUUCUUUGUCUGAGGAACAAAUGGGAUGGAAGACCACUAUGUUUUGCUGGAGCCUGUGGACUGCUAGACCUGGGACAUCAGAGUCAUGAACUCUUAUCAAUAUUUAACAUCAAGAGGACAUAUUAACCCUGAGAAGGAUCAUGCUUGUUAAGGUGCCCAUUUCUGCAGACCAUCUAGAUAAAGCCUGGAGUUAUGAGUUCUUCAGCUAGAUGGUGCUCUGUGCUGUUGUGUGUGGAAACUCUUUUAUGUUUGACGGAAAUCUAACAGAUCUCAACUCGGUAAUUUUGGGAUACAGUAGGGAGGGCCACUUCUCACAUUAGAGUACUUGAUGCUCUUUGCUGCCACCACUUGUUGCAAGAUUUGUCUCGUCUCUUUUCAAGUAAAUGAACUUGCGAUGUGCCGGGGGCUGGCACAGUUUGAUUCAGUCUCCGGAUCUGCUUGUUUACAAAUAUUUUAAGGGUAAAAACAUGAGUUAUUCUAUUAUUAGUGUGCUAUAAGAUAGUUGCAAUUUAUUGUUUAAAAACCUUAGAUGCAAAUUGAAAUAAAUGUGCAUCUUGAUCAAUUUGAUACGGUAUCCUUAAAAGCCUUACUUUCUCGAAGCCGCAGGUUUCAUGUAAAGUCCCAUUGAGCAACUUGCUGAGAUGAUCUCUGUUAUUAUUUUUAAUACUUCUUUUGUUUCA